GCCUCGUUGGCUCCGUUGGUAGAGCAUGCAACUCUUGAUCUCAGGGUCGUGAGUUUGAGCCCCACAUUGGGCA
Molecule: transfer RNA, 73 nt
Filed under: Felis catus (domestic cat)
Lineage: Eukaryota; Metazoa; Chordata; Mammalia; Carnivora; Felidae
Rfam family: tRNA
About the family: Transfer RNA (tRNA) molecules are approximately 80 nucleotides in length. Their secondary structure includes four short double-helical elements and three loops (D, anti-codon, and T loops).
Source: Rfam by way of RNAcentral